CCCGAAGGCACAUUUCAAGGGGUUGAGCCUCAUCCUGUACCUUCUCAGGAUUUGGAAGGUGUUGUUGAGGUGCGAUACGUGGCUUUCUGCCUCUAAGCUUUUCACUAGCAUAUCAUCCACGUAGACCUCCAUUGUCUUGCCAAUGAGGUCGGCGAACAUUUUGUUCACGAGUCUUUGGUAAGUUGCUCCGGCAUUUUUCAACCCGAAAGGCAUCAUUCUAUAGCAAUAGAGGCCUCGAUCCGUGAUGAAAGAGGUGUGCUCCUCAUCAGCCGGGUGCAUGGGGAUCUGGUUGUAUCCGGAGUAUGCAUCCAUGAAGCUCAAUAACUCGUGCCCAGCCGUGGAGUCCACCAAUUGGUCAAUCCUUGGAAGCGGAAAGCUAUCUUUCGGGCAAGCUCUAUUAAGGUUGGUGAAGUCGAUGCACACUCGCCAUUUGCCAUUGGGUUUCUUAACCAAGACCGGGUUGGACACCCACUUCGGGUAGGUGGCCUCCCUGAUGAAGCCAUUUUGGAUUAGUUUCUGAACCUCUUCCUUCAGGGCCUCAUACCUCUCUGGGUUGAGGGCUCUCCUUUUUUGUCUAUGCGGGGUAAAAUUGGGGUCGAUUUUCAAGUGGUGACAGCUGACUUUGGGGUCUAUGCCAACCAUGUCCUCAUGUCUCCAGGCGAAGACGUCCAGGUUCUUGCCUAGAAAAUCUUUAAUCUUUUCUCUCAAAAUGUCGGAUAAGCCCCUGCCUACUUUCAGCACCUUGGACGGAUCUCGAGGGUCGGCUGAGAAGCUCUCAAGUUCCUCUACGGGGGAUGCUUGGGGCUCAUGUUCCAUUAUGCGGGGGUCGAUCUCAUCGAUCAGCGCCUCCUGAACGAGGAGUGCGUCAAUCAUAUCAACAUCUUCCUGGUCAGUGGGAGCGUCACCUGGGACAUCCGUCAUAACCACAUCAGCCACGAUCACAUGGACGUCUCGGGGCUCCACCUUCUUAAUGGAGCUCAGAUAGCACUCUCGCGAACCUCUCUGGUCGCCUCUCACCGUUGCCACCCCAUUUUCUGUUGGGAAUUUCAUGCAUAGGUGGUGGAUGGAGGUGACUGCUCCCAAUUCCUUUAGGGCCGGUCUGCCCAAGACCCCGUGGUAAGCCGACCGGCUGUCGACUACGAGGAACUCCAUAAAGUUCAUCGUAGUUUGAGGAGAUUCUCCCAUCUCCACUGCCAGUGUUAUCUUUCCUCUCGGAGUAAUGCUAUCUCCGGUAAAUCCGUACAAUGGAGUGGUGGUGGGUGUCAACUGAUGGUCCAAUAUCAUCUUGUCAAAGGCGGACCCGAAUAAGAUGUUGACGGAGCUGCCAUUGUCGACAAGCAUUCGUUUGAGCCCAUUUCGGGCUAUGACCGCCCUCACUACCAGCGCAUCGCAGUGGGGGUAAUGAACUCCUUCGGCGUCUUCCUGGGUGAAGACAAUGGGUGGUGCUUGGUUUCUUCGGGAGCUAUUAUCUACAAUGUAACUUGUCAGAGGGGGGUGCUUAGCCUCCCUAGCAUAGUUUCUUUUGGCGUUUCGCGUUUCACCGCCAACGUAAGGGCCUCCAAAUAUGGUAUCUAUCUCGUGGAUAGGGGCUUCAUCUUGAGCUUGCCUGUUCCUUCGGUGUCUACGCCCUUCCCUGGGCCUCUCCG
Molecule: long non-coding RNA, 1646 nt
Filed under: Olea europaea subsp. europaea
Lineage: Eukaryota; Viridiplantae; Streptophyta; Magnoliopsida; Lamiales; Oleaceae
Source: RNAcentral